UGUCUUCCAGGCACCCGAAGGCCCUAAACCUGGCUGCUUCCCGGACGCACAGUUCGCGAAGACCAGGUGGUGAAGGUCAGAUGGUGAUGAUGUGGCAAAGGUGGUGAAUAAGUGGCAAAAGCCGGCAGACCAGGUGGUGAAUUCACCACCUGGUCUGCCUCUGAGUUGUCGUGGUCUUGCAUGUCUAUAGAUUAACAAUAGACAAACAUCGUUAAUCUGGGCCCAACCCGUGUACGCUGUAAGCAAGCGCAGGUACCGGUGGAUAAUACUUAGCUGCGUUUGAUAUAAGCCACUGAAGUUGUAUACUGCUAAGAUUGCUGUAGAGCCUAUUUGUAGACAUUAGUACGCACAUAGUGUAUACCUCCGCAUUUGUUGACCACAUGAUAUGAUCUACGUAGUCGCUCUCGGCAAUCCCAAGACAGUCUUCACAGUUGUCGCACCACUUUUGCGGCAGUAGAAUAAAGAAAGCAAAACGCCGAUCCAAUUGUUAUAAUAGAUGUUAUGAACGCCAGCUUCAGCUACAACUGGAUUCCAAACAGGCAUCAAGCUAACAGCAAAGACACUCGUAAUGUUUGUAGCUGACAACGCGGACUUUGUGAAUGUGCGAUGAACCGAUGUCGUGCAUGUGGUGUUCGCGUUGUGUGUCGUCCGAUUCUCGGAUACUUUUCACAUUGUCUUCAUAUCUCGGCUGCGUCACUAACAUCGGGCGGUUUUUUGUUGACUGAUAUCCCGCACUAUAAACCCAUCAAAGUUUCUCAUUCACUUGAAAUAGGUGCCAAAUUCUCUGAGCCCACCCAGUGUUUCGCCGGCGGUAUGCCUGCGCAGCCUCGCAUAUGAGUACCUCAAUGCUGUACUGAUUGCUUUGACCUAUCAUGGGAACAGAAAAGUAGCACUAACAUACGUGCGGGCAUCACAUUUGGCGGUAGGCUGGAAGAUAUGCUACAAGUACGCUGUAUUACUAAUCGACGCUGGCAAUAAUGCGUCUGAAACGUCUGAAGGGCCCUGUAACGGCUUUUACAAACAGCGCAUUCAUGUUAGCGUUCCAGUCUCAUACGAUAGCCCACAGCGUUUGUCAUGCAACCUGCCAGCGCAUUUCCUUCGUCCAUGAAAAAAGAUGAAUUAUGGUGAUAAAGAUGCAUAAGCCACCCGUUCCGGAGCGCAUGGCGCGCAGGGAGAGAGAGAAAGAGACAAAAAAAAAAUGAAGGAAAAGGCGCUCACACUCUUCCGAGCGCGCACGCCCUCGGGCGCGGAGCUCCUGCGCAUGCUCGGAGCUCUUGCGCAUGCGCGGCGGUGCGUCGUCUCAACGAGUGCGCCAGGCACGUAAACGGUUGUAUCGGUGUGCGGUGUCUGCCUGAACGUUGGUGUCUGUGUAUGCGUGUCUUCUUUGUGGCAUCACACGUCAACUACACCGGACGCAUACACCUGCAGCACCUUUGGGACUAAUGACACAAAGGUCAAGGCCAGCCUGGCGACCAUGCUUGCCAAGGAGUAGUGUAAAUAUUUAAUCUGUUUCCAUAAUAGCAUAAGACAUGAAUUUAAGGAAUUCAUCUAUUAUAUCCAGCAAUAAAAACUGUUAAUGCA
This is a long non-coding RNA of Dermacentor andersoni, 1581 nucleotides long. RefSeq lists it as uncharacterized. The record is from RefSeq and is a predicted model, not a curated record. NCBI's taxonomy places the organism in Eukaryota, Metazoa, Arthropoda, Arachnida, Ixodida, Ixodidae.